RNAcentral lists this ribosomal RNA (459 nucleotides) under uncultured bacterium. RNAcentral describes it as "partial 16S ribosomal RNA". It matches the Rfam family "Bacterial small subunit ribosomal RNA", at positions 338 to 795 of the family's 1533-position model. The record is from RNAcentral.
CCUACGGGUGGCAGCAGUGAGGAAUAUUGGUCAAUGGUCGGGAGACUGAACCAGCCAAGCCGCGUGAGGGAUGAAGGUACAGAGUAUCGUAAACCUCUUUUGUCAGGGAACAAAGGCGGGGACGUGUCCCCGGAUGAGUGUACCUGAAGAAAAAGCAUCGGCUAACUCCGUGCCAGCAGCCGCGGUAAUACGGAGGAUGCGAGCGUUAUCCGGAUUUAUUGGGUUUAAAGGGUGCGCAGGCGGUCUGUUAAGUCAGCUGUAAAAUCGCGCGGCUCAACCGCGCCCCGCAGUUGAAACUGGACGCCUUGAGUUCACAACAGGCAGGCGGAAUUCGUGGUGUAGCGGUGAAAUGCAUAGAUAUCACGAGGAACCCCGAUUGCGAAGGCAGCCUGCCGGGGUGCGACUGACGCUGAGGCUCGAAGGUGCGGGUAUCAAACAGGAUUAGAUACCCGUGUAGUC